GACGAACGCUGGCGGCGUGCUUAACACAUGCAAGUCGAACGGAAAGGCCCUGCUUUUGUGGGGUGCUCGAGUGGCGAACGGGUGAGUAACACGUGAGUAACCUGCCCCUGACUUUGGGAUAACUUCAGGAAACUGGGGCUAAUACCGGAUAGGAGCUCCUGCUGCAUGGGGGGGGUAGGAAAGUUUCGGCGGUUGGGGAUGGACUCGCGGCUUAUCAGCUUGUUGGUGGGGUAGUGGCUUACCAAGGCUUUGACGGGUAGCCGGCCUGAGAGGGUGACCGGCCACAAUGGGACUGCGAGACGGCCCAGACUCCUACGGGAGGCAGCAGGGGGGAAUAUUGCACAAUGGGCGGAAGCCUGAUGCAGCAACGCCGCGUGCGGGAUGACGGCCUUCGGGUUGUAAACCGCUUUCGCCUGUGACGAAGCGUGAGUGACGGUAAUGGGUAAAGAAGCACCGGCUAACUACGUG
Molecule: ribosomal RNA, 468 nt
Filed under: uncultured bacterium
Lineage: Bacteria
Description: partial 16S ribosomal RNA
Rfam family: Bacterial small subunit ribosomal RNA
Source: RNAcentral